RNAcentral lists this ribosomal RNA (253 nucleotides) under uncultured bacterium. RNAcentral's name for it is "partial 16S ribosomal RNA". It matches the Rfam family "Bacterial small subunit ribosomal RNA", at positions 524 to 776 of the family's 1533-position model. The record is from RNAcentral.
UACGAAGGGGGCUAGCGUUGCUCGGAAUUACUGGGCGUAAAGGGCGCGUAGGCGGCUUGAUAAGUAGGAGGUGAAAUUUCGUGGCUCAACCACGAAACUGCCUUCUAAACUGUCAGGCUUGAGCACGGUAGAGGCAGAUGGAAUUCCCGGUGUAGCGGUGGAAUGCGUAGAGAUCGGGAAGAACACCAGUGGCGAAGGCGGUCUGCUGGGCCGUUGCUGACGCUGAAGCGCGACAGCGUGGGGAGCAAACAGG